UGGGGAAUAUUGCGCAAUGGGGGAAACCCUGACGCAGCAACGCCGCGUUCGGGAUGAAGGCCUUCGGGUUGUAAACCGCUUUCAGCAGGGAAGACAUCGACGGUACCUGCAGAAGAAGCCCCGGCUAACUACGUGCCAGCAGCCGCGGUAAUACGUAGGGGGCGGGCGUUAUCCGGAUUCAUUGGGCGUAAAGCGCGCGCAGGCGGUUGCUCAAGCGGAACCUCUAAUCUCGGGGCUUAACCUCGAGCCGGGUUCCGAACUGGACGACUCGAGUGCGGUAGAGGCAGAUGGAAUUCCCGGUGUAGCGGUGAAAUGCGCAGAUAUCGGGAAGAACACCAACGGCGAAGGCAGUCUGCUGGGCCGUCACUGACUCUGAGGCGCGAAAGCUGGGGGAGCGAACAGG
Molecule: ribosomal RNA, 403 nt
Filed under: Verrucomicrobiota bacterium
Lineage: Bacteria; Pseudomonadati; Verrucomicrobiota
Description: Verrucomicrobia bacterium partial 16S ribosomal RNA
Rfam family: Bacterial small subunit ribosomal RNA
Source: RNAcentral